Molecule: ribosomal RNA, 696 nt
Filed under: uncultured bacterium
Lineage: Bacteria
Description: bacterial SSU rRNA
Rfam family: Bacterial small subunit ribosomal RNA
Source: RNAcentral
UAACGCGUGAGGAACCUGCCUCAAAGAGGGGGACAACAGUUGGAAACGACUGCUAAUACCGCAUAAGCCCACAGGUCGGCAUCGACCAGAGGGAAAAGGAGCAAUCCGCUUUGAGAUGGCCUCGCGUCCGAUUAGCUAGUUGGUGAGGUAACGGCCCACCAAGGCAACGAUCGGUAGCCGGACUGAGAGGUUGAACGGCCACAUUGGGACUGAGACACGGCCCAGACUCCUACGGGAGGCAGCAGUGGGGAAUAUUGCACAAUGGGGGAAACCCUGAUGCAGCGACGCCGCGUGGAGGAAGAAGGUCUUCGGAUUGUAAACUCCUGUUGUUGAGGAAGAUAAUGACGGUACUCAACAAGGAAGUGACGGCUAACUACGUGCCAGCAGCCGCGGUAAAACGUAGGUCACAAGCGUUGUCCGGAAUUACUGGGUGUAAAGGGAGCGCAGGCGGGAAGACAAGUUGGAAGUGAAAUCUAUGGGCUCAACCCAUAAACUGCUUUCAAAACUGUUUCUCUUGAGUAGUGCAGAGGUAGGCGGAAUUCCCGGUGUAGCGGUGGAAUGCGUAGAUAUCGGGAGGAACACCAGUGGCGAAGGCGGCCUACUGGGCACCAACUGACGCUGAGGCUCGAAAGUGUGGGUAGCAAACAGGAUUAGAUACCCUGGUAGUCCACACCGUAAACGAUGAUUACUAGGUGU